GAUGAACGCUGGCGGCGUGCCUAAUACAUGCAAGUCGAGCGAACAGAUAAGGAGCUUGCUCCUUUGAAGUUAGCGGCGGACGGGUGAGUAACACGUGGGUAACCUACCUAUAAGACUGGGAUAACUUCGGGAAACCGGAGCUAAUACCGGAUAACAUUUAGAACCGCAUGGUUCUAAAGUGAAAGAUGGUUUUGCUAUCACUUAUAGAUGGACCCGCGCCGUAUUAGCUAGUUGGUAAGGUAACGGCUUACCAAGGCGACGAUACGUAGCCGACCUGAGAGGGUGAUCGGCCACACUGAGACUGAGACACGGUCCAGACUCCUACGGGAGGCAGCAGUAGGGAAUCUUCCGCAAUGGGCGAAAGCCUGACGGAGCAACGCCGCGUGAGUGAUGAAGGGUUUCGGCUCGUAAAACUCUGUUAUUAGGGAAGAACAAAUGUGUAAGUAACUGUGCACAUCUUGACGGUACCUAAUCAGAAAGCCACGGCUAACUACGUGCCAGCAGCCGCGGUAAUACGUAGGUGGCAAGCGUUAUCCGGAAUUAUUGGGCGUAAAGCGCGCGUAGGCGGUUUCUUAAGCUUGAUGUGAAAGCCCACGGCUCAACCGUGGAGGGUCAUUGGAAACUGGGAAACUUGAGUGCAGAAGAGGAAAGUGGAAUUCCAUGUGUAGCGGUGAAAUGCGCAGAGAUAUGGAGGAACACCAGUGGCGAAGGCGACAAUCUGGUCUGUAACUGACGCUGAUGUGCGAAAGCGUGGGGAUCAAACAGGAUUAGAUACCCUGGUAGUCCACGCCGUAAACGAUGAGUGCUAAGUGUUAGGGGGUUUCCGCCCCUUAGUGCUGCAGCUAACGCAUUAAGCACUCCGCCUGGGGAGUACGACCGCAAGGUUGAAACUCAAAGGAAUUGACGGGGACCCGCACAAGCGGUGGAGCAUGUGGUUUAAUUCGAAGCAACGCGAAGAACCUUACCAAAUCUUGACAUCCUUUGAAAACUCUAGAGAUAGAGCCUUCCCCUUCGGGGGACAAAGUGACAGGUGGUGCAUGGUUGUCGUCAGCUCGUGUCGUGAGAUGUUGGGUUAAGUCCCGCA
RNAcentral lists this ribosomal RNA (1084 nucleotides) under Staphylococcus xylosus. RNAcentral describes it as "bacterial SSU rRNA". It matches the Rfam family "Bacterial small subunit ribosomal RNA", at positions 28 to 1091 of the family's 1533-position model. Lineage: Bacteria; Bacillati; Bacillota; Bacilli; Caryophanales; Staphylococcaceae. The record is from RNAcentral.